Molecule: antisense RNA, 75 nt
Filed under: Nocardia asteroides
Lineage: Bacteria; Bacillati; Actinomycetota; Actinomycetes; Mycobacteriales; Nocardiaceae
Also listed under: 1 other name
Description: ASpks TB sRNA
Rfam family: ASpks TB sRNA
Source: RNAcentral
UUUCAGCGAACCGAGCCACAGCGGACGAUCCAGCGCACGGUCCUGGCCGUAGGUGGCCAGCAGCGCCUGCGCCUC